This 301-nucleotide ribosomal RNA is filed under the name uncultured bacterium. RNAcentral's name for it is "partial 16S ribosomal RNA". It matches the Rfam family "Bacterial small subunit ribosomal RNA", at positions 509 to 809 of the family's 1533-position model. The record is from RNAcentral.
CAGCAGCCACGGUAAUACGAAGGGGGCUAGCGUUGCUCGGAAUGACUGGGCGUAAAGGGCGCGUAGGCGGCGGCCAAAGUCAGGCGUGAAAUUCCCGGGCUCAACCUGGGGGCUGCGUUUGAUACUUGGUUGCUUGAGUGGGGAAGAGGGUCGUGGAAUUCCCAGUGUAGAGGUGAAGUUCGUAGAUAUUGGGAAGAACACCGGUGGCGAAGGCGGCGACCUGGUCCUUUACUGACGCUGAGGCGCGAAAGCGUGGGGAGCAAACAGGAUUAGAUACCCCCGUAGUCCCUGUCUCUUAUAA